CUUGGUCAUUUAGAGGAAGUAAAAGUCGUAACAAGGUUUCCGUAGGUGAACCUGCGGAAGGAUCAUUGCAAAACUGUAGGGGGGGGGGAAUUUGUUGGAAUGUGAUUAAGAGAAUAUACAAAAUUGAACUAUGUUAUACAACUCUCCACAAUGGAUCUCUGGGCUCUUGCAUCGAUGAAGAACGCAGCAAAACGCGAAAUGUGUUAUGACAUGCAAUCUUUGAGAAUCAAGAAAUUUUUGAACGCACCAUGUACCCUGCAAAGGGUAUGCUUGUUUGAGUAUGAAAGCGGAAUUGGAGAGUACGAGGAUCGUUUCUCUGAAAAGCAAAGAUAUGGUGCGCAGGUUAGGGUACGUUUUGGGAUAAACCUUCGAGACGGACUGUAACUUGCUCACUCGCGUGAAAUACUCACCUAUUUCACACACUAUACUUACUCAUCUCAAAUCAAGCAAGAUUACCCGCUGAACUUAAGCAUAUCAAUAAGCGGAGGAAAGGGCUAUCCGGG
Molecule: ribosomal RNA, 503 nt
Filed under: uncultured fungus
Lineage: Eukaryota; Fungi
Description: eukaryotic LSU rRNA
Rfam family: 5.8S ribosomal RNA (bases 140-284)
Source: RNAcentral